Methanoculleus sp. MAB1 is the source of this 85-nucleotide transfer RNA. It matches the Rfam family "tRNA". Rfam says of the family: Transfer RNA (tRNA) molecules are approximately 80 nucleotides in length. Lineage: Archaea; Methanobacteriati; Methanobacteriota; Methanomicrobia; Methanomicrobiales; Methanomicrobiaceae. The record is from Rfam.
GCGAGGGUAGCCAAGCCCGGCCAAAGGCGGUGGACUUAAGAUCCACUCCCGCAGGGGUCCGUGGGUUCGAAUCCCAUCCCUCGCA